ACCUGCGGAAGGAUCAUUAUUGAAUGAACUUGGUGUGGUUGUAGCUGGCCCUCUUGAAAAGGGCAUGUGCACACCCACCAUCCUCAUCUCUCCACCUGUGCACCUCUUGUAGACUUGGAUUGACUUUCCGAGGCAACUCGGUCGGGAGGACUGCUGGCACUAGCUGGCUUUCCUUGCAUUUCCAAAUCUACGUUUUUCAUAUACCCUAUCGUAUGUAAUAGAAUGUAUCAUUGGGCACUUGUGCCUAUAUAAACCUUAUACAACUUUCAGCAACGGAUCUCUUGGCUCUCGCAUCGAUGAAGAACGCAGCGAAAUGCGAUAAGUAAUGUGAAUUGCAGAAUUCAGUGAAUCAUCGAAUCUUUGAACGCACCUUGCGCUCCUUGGUAUUCCGAGGAGCAUGCCUGUUUGAGUGUCAUUAAAUUCUCAACCUUUAUCAGCUUUUGUUGAUAAUGGCUUGGAUAUGGGGGUUUAUUUUUGCUGGCUUCUUCACGGAUGGUCAGCUCCCCUUAAAUGCAUUAGCCGGUGCCCCGCGUGGACUGUCUAUUGGUGUGAUAAUUAUCUACGCCGUGGACAUCUGCAGUCAUAUGGGUUUGCACUGCUUCUAACCGUCUGUUCAUUCAGACAAUAUAUGACAAUUUGACC
Molecule: ribosomal RNA, 642 nt
Filed under: Hebeloma sacchariolens
Lineage: Eukaryota; Fungi; Basidiomycota; Agaricomycetes; Agaricales; Hymenogastraceae
Description: eukaryotic LSU rRNA
Rfam family: 5.8S ribosomal RNA (bases 262-415)
Source: RNAcentral